CAGAUACCCAAUGAAAUUCAACAGAAAGCAACCAGCUCGCUCCUCGCCUCACACAAGCUAAUUGAAGACACGUUGGAAAGAAGCUCAGCAAAGCAGCAAGCAAGAGUUUGAAUGCUGAUCAUCUUUUGCUCCAAAGCACAAAGGGGAAAAAAAAGACAUGAAAUAUUCUGAGACUCUUUACUUAGAUAAUAAUUUUAUAUAGACUUUACCUGGUCUUCCAUUGUAUAAGCUUUUGCAUAAAAAUGAAACUUUUGCUCAAGGAUUCUCCGGCAGCACAGCCUGCUGUUGCCUUCAGUUAACAGCACCAAUAUGACUUGCAUGACACCUUAGAGAAAAGACGGAACAGAAUUUGAUCCGUUGGUGGACAUUCAGCUACAACUCAACUCAAGUCAGCUCAGCACCUGCUUGUUGCACCAUCCCUAGCAUGCUUUCCCUCUUCUCCCCAACUCCACACCUUGCUCACACGAGCCAACAAGUAACUGAUGAGAUCGACUCUCAAAAGAACCUCUCUGGAUUAAAACCUUUACUAUGUGAAGCGAGUCCCAGUAUUUCUGCUCUCAAUGAGGGCUGGCCAUUGGACAUUCACCAAGCUACAGAGGACAGCCCUCACCAAAUACCUACCAAAUACACAGUAAAAAAAUAAACAAAUAUCUAUCCCAAGACGUUGCCAUAUCAAUUGUUGUGAAGGACUGAGAUCAACAGCAGUUGUAAUGGACCAAUGUAUUCACUCCCGCUGUCGAGGAACGAGGAUACCCCCAUUUGGGGUUUUCAAAUGAAGACAGGCCAACUGUGGGUAUUGUUCUAUUGUCCUGUAAUGCAAUGCAAGCAGGAAGCCAUAUACAACCAGAAAACAUCCACAGUGCUUACUCCUGAGGAACUGUGGCACCUGCUGCCUGUAGUUUUGUACCACCGUUGAAGCCCACGGUACAGUACGUAACCACCAUAAGAGAUUCCACUCUUCUUCUCGUCAAGACAGACCAGCAGCAUCCAGUUGUUCUGCCUCACCAUCAAGAUAACUAACUCACGGCAAGUAACAAAGUGGUCCCUCACCAUGGAUCAACACCAGCUUUUAUCAAGGAGGAAUUGGUACCUCAAGGGUAUGUUAUCAGCUGAUGAUUCACAAACCUCUGUGCUACUACCAAAUCACUCUGAUAAAGUCUUAUCUUGCUGCUGCACCAGGCCAGAUGAGACCUCACAGCCCCACUGCCUGUAUUUACAUGGACCACUCUGAAAGAGUGAGCACCCUCCCUUUUUUUUAACAACAAAAACCCUAGACGCCUCCAUCAACCUCCGCAGUCAGUAUGUUUAACAAUAAGAACUUCUGUAAUUCGAGCAAAGGUUUUGAGACAACUCUUUCUAACAAUCUGUUUGAAUAAUUAUGCAAUAGCCUGUAUUUAUUAUGCAUGCAGCUGUCAAUAAUAUUCUUUAAACGGAGAAGAUUAGGUUCAGACCUGCAGUUAUAAUUGAACUCUGGAAGGAAACAAUACGAACAAGUGAAGCAAGUGUCUUUGGCAAACCUCAGCUUGUACAACGGAUUUUCCCUAUCAUUAAAACUGAACUCAGUUUCUGCCUAUCAAAAGGAUCUUCCCCACUUUAAUUUAAGUGAUUUGUUUUCCUUUUUGCUUCUGUAUUGAAGGAAAGUUUCAAUUUGUUCCUUUGGGUUUAUGCUUUAGCUCUUUAAAUUCCAGGUUGCCAGCCUUUACCGUUUGGGUCAUAUCCAGGCUCUACAGAUCAGGAGCUCAGCCCCAUGUAUGUAUUUAUAUGUAUUCCCCCAAAUUUAAGAUACUCUAGAUCACAAUGAGCUAAGCUCUGUUCACAAGAAGCCCCUAAAUAAAACAAGCCUUUGAGAGAGAAAAAGGUCACUUUCCGGAGAGGGAAAUAGGGAAAUAUUUAUGCCAAAAAGAUGGAGACCAUUUGCACAAUGGUGAAACCUGAGUCAUUGCAGUUAUAGAUUAUCUGCUACAACUACAUUACAGAUAGCUCUCUGCAGAAUUCUUUUAAACUGUCGUUCCAAUUCGCCGGACUGUGAAAUUCUUACACGGUCGUUUUCUAGUUUUUUUUUAUAAAGGAUGGUGCCAUUUGGCACUGAAUCUUACAAGAGACUUUAGCAAGUUUGUAAACUGUAUUGUGUACAGUAUCAUGGGCCCCAGCAGUCUUUUAUCUCUACUCUCUCUCAACCCCACACCCCCCACCGAACUCACACACACACACACACACACACACACGGCACAUCACUCCAAUUUUUCCCCCAUUCCUCUCCUGACCAGUGCUGCCCAAUGCUUAUCGGAUGCAGCUUGGGUUAGUACAACUAUUAGAUAAAUGAACACCAAGUUACAAUUCAGCCUGGCCCUCAGUGAGAACUGACCAGCUGUUUUAUGGGGCACAGUUUGAGCACGUCUUAUUCAAUAUGUGCCCUGCAUUUUUUACGAAAACAACUGCUUCUCAUCAGUUUGAUUUUAAAACUUCAAUAUUUUAAUGAUCUGGGUGUUGGUUUCCCCACCCUCCCCAAGUCAAUCUCUGUGCUCCUGCUUUAUUUUGGCUCACGCAAGCAGUACCGUGUGUUGCCUGUACAGAUGUGCACUGAAAUAUGACUGAGCACCAGUGCAGUACAGUCCGGUCCCAUCUCAAUCGUACUAGGGAUCUGCCUCCAGUAAGCUGUGAGAUGUAAGGGUUGCAGUGGGACAGGGGGAAAUGCAAUGACAUCCAUUUAUACAACAACAACAAAAUUACAUUUAUAGAGCGUCUUUCACGU
Molecule: long non-coding RNA, 2752 nt
Organism: Callorhinchus milii (elephant shark)
Lineage: Eukaryota; Metazoa; Chordata; Chondrichthyes; Chimaeriformes; Callorhinchidae
Exons: 3
Source: RefSeq, a predicted model, not a curated record